Molecule: ribosomal RNA, 522 nt
Filed under: Priestia megaterium
Lineage: Bacteria; Bacillati; Bacillota; Bacilli; Caryophanales; Bacillaceae
Description: bacterial SSU rRNA
Rfam family: Bacterial small subunit ribosomal RNA
Source: RNAcentral
UGUAAGACUGGGAUAACUUCGGGAAACCGAAGCUAAUACCGGAUAGGAUCUUCUCCUUCAUGGGAGAUGAUUGAAAGAUGGUUUCGGCUAUCACUUACAGAUGGGCCCGCGGUGCAUUAGCUAGUUGGUGAGGUAACGGCUCACCAAGGCAACGAUGCAUAGCCGACCUGAGAGGGUGAUCGGCCACACUGGGACUGAGACACGGCCCAGACUCCUACGGGAGGCAGCAGUAGGGAAUCUUCCGCAAUGGACGAAAGUCUGACGGAGCAACGCCGCGUGAGUGAUGAAGGCUUUCGGGUCGUAAAACUCUGUUGUUAGGGAAGAACAAGUACAAGAGUAACUGCUUGUACCUUGACGGUACCUAACCAGAAAGCCACGGCUAACUACGUGCCAGCAGCCGCGGUAAUACGUAGGUGGCAAGCGUUAUCCGGAAUUAUUGGGCGUAAAGCGCGCGCACGCGGUUUCUUAAUUCUGAUGUGAAAGCCCACGGCUCAACCGUGGAGGGUCAUUGUUAACUGGGGA